UACGAAGGGGGCUAGCGUUGUUCGGAAUUACUGGGCGUAAAGCGCGUGUAGGCGGGUCUUUUAAGUCAGGGGUGAAAUGCCAAGGCUCAACCUUGGAACUGCCUUUGAUACUGGAGAUCUUGAGUCCGGGAGAGGUGAGUGGAACUGCGAGUGUAGAGGUGAAAUUCGUAGAUAUUCGCAAGAACACCAGUGGCGAAGGCG
Molecule: ribosomal RNA, 201 nt
Filed under: uncultured bacterium
Lineage: Bacteria
Description: partial 16S ribosomal RNA
Rfam family: Bacterial small subunit ribosomal RNA
Source: RNAcentral